This is a long non-coding RNA of Gossypium arboreum, 502 nucleotides long. RefSeq lists it as uncharacterized. The transcript has 3 exons. The record is from RefSeq and is a predicted model, not a curated record. Lineage: Eukaryota; Viridiplantae; Streptophyta; Magnoliopsida; Malvales; Malvaceae.
AUCUUCCAUCCAUUCACAAUCGAAAAUCAGGUUUAAAAUAGCCAUUAAAGAUCUUGACAUUCGGCCAUGGUGUUUUUGCUCAAAUAGAUUGAGAAAAAUGAGAUUCGGAUCUGGAACGGGAGGAAACAAAGUAUCGGAUUAGUCGACCUAAUUUGUCGUUACAGUGAACGAGUGUUUCGGACGUUUGCUCGAGUUGAAAGGCAACAGAGAUCGCAUCACACUAUUCGGCUAUUGAUUUUCGUAUUUUUUACACUUUGUGGGUUGGUUAUAUGGCAUGUAUAGGCUAUGGUCUUUUUAAUAUGGUUGUCAGAAAUGUAUAUGGUCGUUUGAAAUGGCUUAUUAAUGAUUUUGGGUUGAUGAUUAUAAUGUGGCCUUAUGUUUUGGCAUUGUUGGUAUAAAAUGUGUAUUUGGCUUAUGUUAUGUAUUUGUGGUUUGGCUUGGAAUGCAAAUGUGGUAACAAUGGGUUUAAGAAGUGUCAUGUGUUGGUAUGAGUUUGAGAUGA